GCCAAGUGGAAAAAAGGUUUUGCAUAAAUUUUCCCUAAAAUUAUUCCAUUUACCAGCAGAUCAAGAUGCACGUAAGGAAAGAUCCAUUCAAGACAAAGUAAAGGCAAAUCCAUCUGUUUUAACUUUUCCUUAGACAUAGUGGCAAAUUCUAGUAGUUCUUGUAAUAGAACAGGAAAAAGUUCUCAUCUGGAAGGAAAAAGGGUUUUUAUAUGGAAGUGGAUAUCAGAGAAGAAUACAAAAAGAAACUGCAUACAUGAUACAACAUUCUAUUUUCAGCUAAAAGGUAGCUUAAGAACUCAUUUAGACUGGUGAAAAAUAAACUUACUUUUCCAAACAACACCU
Molecule: unclassified non-coding RNA, 342 nt
Filed under: Hevea brasiliensis (rubber tree)
Lineage: Eukaryota; Viridiplantae; Streptophyta; Magnoliopsida; Malpighiales; Euphorbiaceae
Source: RNAcentral